ACCUUAAUUCAUCGCUUUUUACAAGGUAGGUUGGAAAACCUGCAGUUCGCAAAUGUUUAUCUGUGGACUAAGGCCAGUCUGCGGCAAAGAUUUAACCAGUCUAUAUUGAAAAGAGAAAAUAAUAUUAAGGACAAAGUAAAGAGUGUGUAUAUGUGCGUGUGUGAGAGAGAGAGACAGACAGAGAAGUGUCUGUGAAGUGCUAACCUUCCUUUCCUGGGAAGAUCCUACUUCCCCCUGAGAUUUUGCCCUUCUUACUUUUGCCAGUUACAUGCUUAUUGUAAUAAAUAGUAGCUGAUUUUUUUAACGUCCUUACUUAGAAGAAAGUACUUGGCAAACCCAUGUCAGUACUCUCCCCACUUCUCUUUCUUUUUUAAUUUCAAAUUGUUUACUGAUCUGCGGAAUGUACACAUCUAGGAAGGUACUUAGAAGCCCUAUGAUGCUGAAGUGCUGGACCAACGAAUGGAGCUGAGCUCUUCUGAUUCUGAUUUAUCACAACUGCUGUUGCCAGUUCCCAGUGCUGCAGACGAGGAGAUGCCAGUCCCUACCAAUCUGAAGGUGAAUUAGAAAUUCUUAAUCCUGUAAAAAAAUACUCAUUCCUGGGUGGAUUUCCCUCAUUGUUCUCACUCUGAUCUCAUUACUUUUGUUAACUUCUCUUUCCUCCUCAACACGCCCUCUCUGCUGUCUUUCUAGCAAAUAUUGACACUGAAAUUUUCCAAAUGAUUCCAAAUCAGUACACACUGCUUAUAUUUGUGUUACCCAACAAAGCAAUCCUUAAAAUCUUUGAACAAUCAUCUCCAGACUUCUUGUAUUGGAGAAUUGAAACCACCGGCAGAGGUUAACAACUCAGGGAAGCAGGUGGUGUGAGAGAAGAAAAUGACUUUACUAAUUAUUAGGGGAAAAAAAGCACAGAGGCUCCUAUGUAAAGAAUUAUCCCCAAUUUUCCUACACUUCUUGGCAAAAAUACCCUUGAGCCUUUUUUACAUAUUUAUUAAAAUUUAUUUAUAUGACAUUAUCGAUGCCCAAAGAGAAGACAAAGUAAGGUGUGAGUGUGAUUGUCCUCAGCUCUCCCCGACAGUGAGGGACCUGAGGGUCUGUCUACUGAGGCCUGAACAGAGGAGUGAAAGCUUCAGGAAAGUUCUUACAAAUGAAGUUUGUACACCUCUCUGAGUCCUCGGAUAGCCUACACAGGGCCGGGCCUAGGGCAAGGCGGAGGAGGACGCACUGACUCCCAGGCCCCUCAAGUUCAGGGUUAGGGUCAGGGUCAGGUGUAAGACCAGCCCCAUAAGCUUCGCCCUCCAGGUUUGCCUCAUCCCGGUCCAGUCCUGAGCCCACACAUUAAUGGAUUUAAGAUUUGAUAGCAAAACCCUAAACAACAGGAAUACCUAAAGGAAGAUAAAAAGCAGCCAUACACUUUUUAUACCUUCUGUGCAUGUUUCAUGAAAUCUUUUCUUAUAACUUCUUUAUAGUCUCAAUAAUUGUUAAUACGUAAACAAAUGACAUUUUUAAAAAUGAUUCAAAAGGUGCAUUUUCAUAAAAUGUGUUCCUCUCAACCCUUCCCUCUCCACCAUCGAGAAUGGUUCAGCAAACCCUGUUUGGCUGUAAGCUCUGUGCAGUGUCUGCGUUUCCUUACUUGAACUGAGCACUUCCCAUGGAGUCGAUUCUGGUGUCAGUCUGUCUUCUUUCCGAGAGGCAGACCUAAAACGAGGUUAAUGAUCCAAGGAUUUUCUCAGAGGCCGUGCUUGUGUGAGAUCCCAUGGGGAAGGAGCCAGAAGAGGCCAGGAGAGCCAUGAGCCUGAGCCUGUGACGCAAGUCUGACAUGGAGCGAAGGACAGAGAAAGGGAAGCACACAAGACUGUCAUGCAGCCUAAGGACAGGUCAGCAAGGCCACCUGGGAGUCCUGGAGCCAAAAUCAGCCAUCACAGUAGAGGCAUGUCUGCCUCGAGCUGCCUUGUCUUGGUAUUCCUGCUGCAGUGGUGAGGGCUGCGGGCAGCCUGUGGGCAGCAGCAGCUGGGUCCCUUGGGUAAUCCAUCUGCCUGUAGUCAGAGUCUGCAAGGCACAUUCUCAUGGCCACCACAACUCUAGCUGUGGCUCUUAAUCUUUCAGACCCCUCACACCACAGAAUCAGGACUAGUAUCCUUUAUUCCCCUGAUAAAACUUUUGGACCAUUCCUCCUUUACUUUCUUUUUGCAAACAAAAUAAAAUCAUAAACUUGUCAAAGCAAAGCCCAGCAGCUUUCAGGCUCAUGCCAUUUGGCUAGUCUGUAUUCUGAGCGCCUCCUCAUUCCCUAAACUUCAAUAUCUGGUUAUGGUCUUCCCCACUCUAAUUCUUUCCAACAUCGCAGGUCAAUUCAGUACCUGAGCCUCUCAGUUCCUCACCUUCUUCAUCAUCCGUGACCUCCUCCUUUACCCCUCUUCUGCACACCCUUCAAAGAUCUGCUCAAUUAGCACAUUUUCUUGGAAGCCUUCUCAGAAUGCAAAUUAGAUCAGCUCCUCCUAGUCCAUACUUCACAGCAUCUCUACUGCUCGUUCCGAGCUCAGUGACAGUCAUGAAAGUGUAUGUGUACCCGUGU
This 2569-nucleotide long non-coding RNA is filed under the name Equus caballus (horse). RNAcentral describes it as "lncRNA (ENSECAG00000045469.1)". The record is from RNAcentral. Lineage: Eukaryota; Metazoa; Chordata; Mammalia; Perissodactyla; Equidae.